GGAUGAACGCUGGCGGCGUGCCUAAUACAUGCAAGUCGAGCGAACAGACGAGGAGCUUGCUCCUCUGACGUUAGCGGCGGCCGGGUGAGUAACACGUGGAUAACCUACCUAUAAGACUGGGAUAACUUCGGGAAACCGGAGCUAAUACCGGAUAAUAUAUUGAACCGCAUGGUUCAAUAGUGAAAGACGGUUUUGCUGUCACUUAUCGAUGGAUCCGCGCCGCAUUAGCUAGUUGGUAAGGUAACGGCUUACCAAGGCAACGAUGCGUAGCCGACCUGAGAGGGUGAUCGGCCACACUGGAACUGAGACACGGUCCAGACUCCUACGGGAGGCAGCAGUAGGGAAUCUUCCGCAAUGGGCGAAAGCCUGACGGAGCAACGCCGCGUGAGUGAUGAAGGUCUUCGGAUCGUAAAACUCUGUUAUUAGGGAAGAACAAAUGUGUAAGUAACUAUGCACGUCUUGACGGUACCUAAUCAGAAAGCCACGGCUAACUACGUG
RNAcentral lists this ribosomal RNA (498 nucleotides) under uncultured bacterium. Its description in RNAcentral is "partial 16S ribosomal RNA". It matches the Rfam family "Bacterial small subunit ribosomal RNA", at positions 27 to 507 of the family's 1533-position model. The record is from RNAcentral.